GGGGGAUUAGCUCAGUUGGCUAGAGCACCUGCUUUGCAAGCAGGGGGUCAAGGGUUCGACUCCCUUAUCCUCCACUA
Molecule: transfer RNA, 77 nt
Filed under: Alistipes finegoldii DSM 17242
Lineage: Bacteria; Pseudomonadati; Bacteroidota; Bacteroidia; Bacteroidales; Rikenellaceae
Description: tRNA-Ala
Rfam family: tRNA
About the family: Transfer RNA (tRNA) molecules are approximately 80 nucleotides in length. Their secondary structure includes four short double-helical elements and three loops (D, anti-codon, and T loops). Further hydrogen bonds mediate the characteristic L-shaped molecular structure. tRNAs have two regions of fundamental functional importance: the anti-codon, which is responsible for specific mRNA codon recognition, and the 3' end, to which the tRNAs corresponding amino acid is attached (by aminoacyl-tRNA synthetases). tRNAs cope with the degeneracy of the genetic code in two manners: having more than one tRNA (with a specific anti-codon) for a particular amino acid; and 'wobble' base-pairing, i.e. permitting non-standard base-pairing at the 3rd anti-codon position.
Source: RNAcentral